Echinops telfairi (small Madagascar hedgehog) is the source of this 2535-nucleotide long non-coding RNA. RefSeq lists it as uncharacterized. The record is from RefSeq and is a predicted model, not a curated record. The transcript has 4 exons. NCBI's taxonomy places the organism in Eukaryota, Metazoa, Chordata, Mammalia, Afrosoricida, Tenrecidae.
GGGGCUUUCCCAAGGGUCACACGGGCAAGACUCUGGAGAGACUGCGGCCUUCCAGCCCAGUCUAGGCACCUUGCAAGGAAGAUGUGCACACUGAGACCCCCCCAUCUUGGACCAACGCCUGACAUCAGUGAGUGCGCGGCGCUGACUGAAGCAUGACACAGUCUGCCAUGGCCACGUAGUGAGGUGUGUGCGAGACCUGAGCCCUCAAGACUCACUGCCUGGCGUUCUAGAGCCUUCAAAAGUGAUUUGAGCAAAAGCCCCGGAAACCAGUGCAACCGAACGACCAGGAGGCAGAAAGCUGAGGAUGGGACUCGGCGUGGCUGCUGGACCCCCUUCCUCAGUGCUGGCCUUUCAGAACAAGCUGGAGCCCCUAGGCCGCUCUGGGGCCCAAACCACACAAUGCUGCUUCCUCUCUUAACCAGGAAAGGUUACGAGUUACGAGCCAAGUUACGAGCUACUGACUGAAAAGUUGACAGUUUGAAUCCACCCGGCACCUCCACAGAAAGAGCUGCCAUCAGCUUCUACAAAGACCACAGCCUGGUUAUCAAAAGAUACGGCAUCUGGGUCUUAACGACUUGUAAUUAAACAAGCGGUCAUCUAGCAGGGAAGCAACAAAUCCCACAGGGAAGAGGCACACCAGACUGUGUGAUCACAGGUGUCUACAGGAAGAGGUACCAGAAGUUCAAAAACACGCAAUGAACUCGAUGUGGAGGGGCAUGGAUGCAGUAGAGACCCAAAACUCGCUUGCAAGGUAAUUGGACAGUCCCUCUCAGAAGAGCCACUCGGAAAGGAUGAUAAACCCAUGGUGCAAUAUGGCACUGAUGAACCACAUAUGGUAAUUAUCUGCCAGUUCUUUAAUAAUUAAGGCUGCUAUUUGUUUUAUCUCAUUAAUCAUGUUAGAUUUACGUAUGUUCAUUGGUAUAUUUAAGAUUGUUCGGUACAUAAAAGUCAAGAUCGAUAACCCUGCAGAAACAGUAAUGGGAGUAAUGGUUCCUGAGGGUACCCAGAAGGUAGGGGAGGAGUAAGGGGAAGGAGAGCUAAUAGCAUUGAUGAUUGUCUAAUUCCACUUGAUGGUAAUGAACAACAGAAUUGUUUGUGGACGGAUAUAUUGGAUUGGGUCAGAUAUGUCAAUAAAACUACUAUUAAAAAAAGACUACAGCCUAGAAAAUCCUAUGCAAUGCUACCCCAUCAAAUGGGGUUGCCAUAAAUGGAAAUAUACCUCCUAACAGCAGCACUAUAGGGUGCUACUAUAGGACAGGGAGACCAUAUAUAUAUAUAUAUAUGCUGAUAUAUAUAUGGCUGGUGAGUUGGAACUGCCUCCCAACCGCUAGCCCACUCUGCCACCAGAAAGGCACUAUUCACAGCAAGACAAGGACAGUGGCUUCUGCGGGGAUCUCCUGGGCCAGGUAGGUUCAACGCAGAGGGGCUAGCUCAGGAGGUUAUGAUUGCUGGCUUUUGUUGUUGUUGUUGUAAAAGGAUCAUUUUGAUGGACUUUUUCAAAUGGGCACAGGAUGAUCACAGGAGGUGAGUGUGAGAAAGUUUUAAGAAAAUCGAAAACCACAUUGGCAGGACACAGAAAGCCAAGAAAACUGUGUUAAGAGAUGAUUCCCAUGAUGACAAAGCACCCGCCACUCAUUCUUCCAGGGCAGCAACACUGGCCUUUGAUAAUUCUGUCAAGAAACCUUAUCCCAUCCACUCGACAGUCCUGAUGUUUCCCCUUAAGACUUCUUUUUGUUUCCAAAUGGCCUAGUCUCUUCAACAACAAAAUCACAGAGAGAGAGCCCCGAUGGAGAUAGGACACCUGCAGACUUCAAAGACAAAUCAACCAAUUUCAGUGAAGGGUGCUCAGUGAGCUACUGAUUUAAAUAGGCUGUAAUAGACGUGGGGUUCUAGUGGCACAAUAAUUAACUGCUGACCCCUAACCUCAGGGCUGGUGGUCUCAACCCGGUAGUUGUUCCAUGAGAGAAAUGUGUGGCAGUCUGCUUCCGUAAAGAUUUACAAGCUUGGAAAAUCCAUGAGGCAUUUCUCUGUCCUGUGAGUCCUGUGAAUUGGAAUUCACUCCACUCAGUAGCUGUAUGUUUGGGUUUGGCUUGUUAAGCCACAUCCAAGCACUUGAGCACAUGAACACACGCGUGCACACACACACACACACACAGGCAUAAACACACACACAGGCAUAAACACACACACAGGCAUAAACACACACACACAGGCAUAAACACACACACACACACACACAGCAAUCAUGGAAAGUUGACACUGACUCCAUAUUUGGUGACAUGAGAAAUUGUUACUCAUUUUUAAUAUGGAGAGAUAAUUGUUGUGGCUAGUUAAGAAUUUUUACCGGUAGAGAUUCAUACUGACAUGUAUGUCUGACAUCCUCUGAAGUCUUAGAUUUGCUUUAAAAUCGUUCAGGAGGGAGUGGGAAUCCCCAGGAAUUAAUUGCUAAAGCUGGUGAUGAUUAUGCCUGGCUCGUUUUCUUUCUUUAAAAAAAAAUUAAUAAAUCAUUUUAUUGGGGGCUCUUACAGCUCUUAU